Brienomyrus brachyistius is the source of this 723-nucleotide long non-coding RNA. RefSeq lists it as uncharacterized. The record is from RefSeq and is a predicted model, not a curated record. Lineage: Eukaryota; Metazoa; Chordata; Actinopteri; Osteoglossiformes; Mormyridae. The transcript has 3 exons.
CCACGGGAAGACAAGCUCAUCCGAGGCAUAUCACAGUCAAACAUCAGAUGACUCCAGGGCUUUGUGCUCAGUGGGAGGUUUCCUUUGGAGCAGAACUGAAAGGGAACACUCAUUAUUCUUGGAUAUGUGCCAGUGAAACGGGAGACGCUCUGCCACUGAGGACUGGGAGUGAUGGGAAUGAUAAAAAAACAGAUCUGGGGGGACUGGAGCAAAAAUGGAAGAGUUUGCUGAUGGCUCAGAGAAACCAUUGAUGGGGCCUUGCCUUCUGAUACAAGGCAUCUUCAAUCAAUCAUUUCAAAGCCUCUCGCUGCGGCCAAAUGCUUGGGGAUCAUGCAAUAUCUUCCGAUUUAAAUUGCUUUCUUCUUUAAGACUCUCUUCGGUGACGGGUAUUCUUGGGUGGAUAAUACAGAUUGCGUUGUUAUUGCUUAAGAAUACGCGUAGUUGAGGAGAGUCAUUUCUUCAGCGACUUCAAGGAACUUAAAUCCCUUGACCCUAAAGUACCUGGCUGCCUGUUUGAUUCUGUAUUUUUUUCCCUAAUAUUUAGGGCACAUAUGCAGCGCAUUUAAAUGAACGCUGGGCUGCGUUGUCAAGCCGCCAGUGAAAACAUCAUUUGUUUCCCACUGUUGUCAUGAUUGCAGCUUUGAGUCUUUGAAUCUUGCGCUAGCUGGAACAACGUUGGCCGUUAAUCAUUUUCUUGGAAUAAAAAAAAAAAUGUUAACAUAA